AUCCAACUGAGGAGUCCCAAAAAGGACGAAACGCGCGUGAAACUGUAU
RNAcentral lists this non-coding RNA (48 nucleotides) under Schistosoma mansoni. Lineage: Eukaryota; Metazoa; Platyhelminthes; Trematoda; Strigeidida; Schistosomatidae. The record is from RNAcentral.